Molecule: ribosomal RNA, 437 nt
Filed under: uncultured Oscillospiraceae bacterium
Lineage: Bacteria; Bacillati; Bacillota; Clostridia; Eubacteriales; Oscillospiraceae
Description: bacterial SSU rRNA
Rfam family: Bacterial small subunit ribosomal RNA
Source: RNAcentral
ACGGAAGGCAGCAGUGGGGAAUAUUGGGCAAUGGGCGAAAGCCUGACCCAGCAAUGCCGCGUGAAGGAAGAAGGUCUUCGGAUUGUAAACUUCUUUUAUGAGGGACGAAGGAAUUGACGGUACCUCAUGAAUAAGCCACGGCUAACUACGUGCCAGCAGCCGCGGUAAUACGUAGGUGGCAAGCGUUAUCCGGAUUUACUGGGUGUAAAGGGCGCGUAGGCGGGGAAGCAAGUCAGAUGUGAAAUCCCGGGGCUCAACCCCGGAACUGCAUUUGAAACUGUAGCCCUUGAGUAUCGGAGAGGCAAGCGGAAUUCCUAGUGUAGCGGUGAAAUGCGUAGAUAUUAGGAGGAACACCAGUGGCGAAGGCGGCUUGCUGGACGACAACUGACGCUGAGGCGCGAAAGCGUGGGGAGCAAACAGGAUUAGAUACCCUGGUA